CUAGACAGCCAUGAUGUUGGCUUAGAAGCAGCCAUCAUUUCAAGGCAGCGUAAUAGCUCACUGGUCGAUUCAGCAUGCGCGGAAGAUGUAACGGGGCUAAACCAUGCACCGAAGCUGCGGCAGCGACGCUUAGGCGUUGUUGGGUAGGGGAGCGUUCUGUAAGCCGUUGAAGGUGGCCUGUGAGGGUUGCUGGAGGUAUCAGAAGUGCGAAUGCUGACAUAAGUAACGAUAAUGCGGGUGAAAAACCCGCACGCCGGAAGACCAAGGGUUCCUGUCCAACGUUAAUCGGGGCAGGGUGAGUCGACCCCUAAGGCGAGGCCGAAAGGCGUAGUCGAUGGGAAACAGGUUAAUAUUCCUGUACUUGGUGUUACUGCGAAGGGGGGACGGAGAAGGCUAGGCUGGCCGGGCGACGGUUGUCCCGGUUCAAGCGUGUAGGGGGGAAGAGUUGGUAAAUCCGCUUUUCUGUAUAACCCUGAGGCGUGAUAACGAGCCACUACGGUGGUGAAGUAGCUGAUGCCCUGCUUCCAGGAAAAGCCUCUAAGCUCCAGGUAACACGAAAUCGUACCCCAAACCGACACAGGUGGUCAGGUAGAGAAUACUCAGGCGCUUGAGAGAACUCGGGUGAAGGAACUAGGCAAAAUGGUGCCGUAACUUCGGGAGAAGGCACGCUGGCGCGUAGGUGAAGAGACUAGCUCUCGGAGCCGAAGCCAGUCGCAGAUACCAGCUGGCUGCAACUGUUUAAUAAAAACACAGCACUGUGCAAACACGAAAGUGGACGUAUACGGUGUGACGCCUGCCCGGUGCCGGAAGGUUAAUUGAUGGGGUCAGCCGCAAGGCGAAGCUCUUGAUCGAAGCCCCGGUAAACGGCGGCCGUAACUAUAACGGUCCUAAGGUAGCGAAAUUCCUUGUCGAGUAAGUUCCGACCUGCACGAAUGGCGUAAUGAUGGCCACGCUGUCUCCACCCGAGACUCAGUGAAAUUGAAAUCGCAGUGAAGAUGCUGUGUACCCGCGGCUAGACGGAAAGACCCCGUGAACCUGUACUACAGCUUGGCACUGAACAUUGAACCUACAUGUGUAGGAUAGGUGGGAGGCUUUGAAGCAGAGACGCUAGUCUUUGUGGAGCCGUCCUUGAAAUACCACCCUUGUAGUGUUGAUGUUCUAACGUUGGUCCCUGAUCGGGAUUACGGACAGUGCCUGGUGGGUAGUUUGACUGGGGCGGUCUCCUCCCAAAGAGUAACGGAGGAGCACGAAGGUGGGCUAAACACGGUUGGACAUCGUGUGGUUAGUGCAAUGGCAUAAGCCCGCUUGACUGCGAGAAUGACAAUUCGAGCAGGUGCGAAAGCAGGUCAUAGUGAUCCGGUGGUUCUGAAUGGAAGGGCCAUCGCUCAACGGAUAAAAGGUACUCCGGGGAUAACAGGCUGAUACCGCCCAAGAGUUCAUAUCGACGGCGGUGUUUGGCACCUCG
This 1465-nucleotide ribosomal RNA is filed under the name Aestuariibacter sp. RNAcentral's name for it is "partial 23S ribosomal RNA". It matches the Rfam family "Bacterial large subunit ribosomal RNA", at positions 1085 to 2528 of the family's 2925-position model. The record is from RNAcentral. Lineage: Bacteria; Pseudomonadati; Pseudomonadota; Gammaproteobacteria; Alteromonadales; Alteromonadaceae.